CUCACCUCUCCUCCCUCAAAACUCACCUUCCCCUCAUGGGCUUUGUGUCCCCCUUGGGGUGCACUUAGCGGCCGAGGCGCACCCUGGGCUCGAACCAGGGACACCAGGGUCCCCGGGUCCCAGUGCAGGGACUGAUGGGAAAACACUUUCGUCCGUGAGGGACCCAGGCCGCGCUUCUCCGCGGCGAAGUUUUUUUGCCACCGGAAGUGCAAGGAGCUGUUUCCCAUUCAGAUGGAGGGUGUCAAGCUCACAGUCAACAAAGGGCUGAGUAACCAUUUCCAGGUGAACCACACAGUAGCCCUCAGCACAAUCGGGGAGUCCAACUACCACUUCGGGGUCACGUAUGUGGGGACAAAGCAGCUGAGUCCCACAGAGGCGUUCCCUGUACUGGUAGGUGACAUGGACAACAGCGGCAGUCUCAACGCUCAGGUGAUUCACCAGCUGGGCCCAGGUCUCAGGUCCAGGAUGGCCAUCCAGACCCAGCAGUCGAAGUUUGUGAACUGGCAGGUGGACGGGGAGUAUUCGGGCUUUGACUCACAGCAGUCAUCACCCUGGGGAACCCAGAUAUCCUCGUGGGUUCAGGAAUCCUCGUAGCCCACUACCCCCACAGCAUCACGCCUUGCCUGGCCCUGGGCGGAGAGCUGGUCUACCACCGGCGGCCUGGGGAGAAGGGCACUGUCAUGUCUCUAGCUGGGAAAUACACAUUGAACAACUGGUUGGCAACAGUAACUUUGGGCCAGGCGGGCAUGCACGCAACAUACUACCACAAAGCCAGUGACCAGCUGCAGGUGGGUGUGGAGUUUGAAGCCAGCACAAGGAUGCAGGACACCAGCGUCUCCUUCGGGUACCAGCUGGACAUGCCCAAGGCCAACCUCCUCUUCAAAGGCUCUGUGGAUAGUAACUGGAUCGUGGGUGCCACGCUGGAGAAGAAGCUCCCGCCCCUGCCCCUGACACUGGCCCUUGGGGCCUUCCUGAAUCACAACAAGAACAAGUUCCAGUGUGGCUUUGGCCUCACCAUUGGCUGAGCCCGCCUGGCCCCCGCCUUCCACGCCCUUCUGAUUCCACCUCCACCACCCCCUGCCACAGAGGGGAGACCUGAGCCCCCCUCCCUUCCCUCCCCCUCGGGGGUCGGGGGGACAUCGGAAAGGAGGGACCCCGCCACCACAGCAGCUGAGGAGGGGAUUCUGGAACUGAAUGGCGCUUUGGGAUUCUGAGUACCAGGGGCAGCGUGCCCAGUGGGCCUGAGGUCCCAGGAGGGAUUCCGGAAUUGAGGGGCAUGCAGGAUUCUGAGCACCAGGGGGAGGGGCAGCCAGACAACCUCAGGGAGGAGUGUCCUGGUGUCCCCAUCCUCCAAAGGGCCUGGGCCCGCCCCGAAGGGGCAGCGAGAGGAGCUUCCCCAUCCCCGGUCAGUCCACCCUGCCCCGUCCACUUUCCCAUGUCCUCGGUAUAAAUCAUGUUUAUAAGUUAUGGAAGAACUGGGACAUUUUACAGAAAAAAAAAA
Molecule: RNA transcript, 1501 nt
Organism: Nomascus leucogenys (northern white-cheeked gibbon)
Lineage: Eukaryota; Metazoa; Chordata; Mammalia; Primates; Hylobatidae
Gene name: mitochondrial import receptor subunit TOM40 homolog pseudogene
Exons: 1
Source: RefSeq, a predicted model, not a curated record